CUCAUAGCGUAUAUUUAAGUUGUUGCAGUUAAAAAGCUCGUAAGUUGGAUUUCGGGCCCAGGCGGCCGGUCCGCCGUUUCGGUGUGCACUGGUCGGCUCGGUCUUUCUGCCGGGGACGCGCUCCGUCUUGACUGCCGGACGCGGAGUCGGCGACGUUACUUUGAAAAAAUUAGAGUGUUCAAAGCAGGCUUACGCUCUGAAUACUAUAGCAUGGAAUAACACGAUAGGACUCCGAGCCUAUUUUGUUGGUCUUCGGGACCGGAGUAAUGAUUAAGAGGGACAGUUGGGGGCAUUCGUAUUACGGUGUCAGAGGUGAAAUUCUUGGAUUUCCGUAAGACGAACUUCUGCGAAAGCAUUUGCCAAGGAUGUUUUCAUUAAUCAAGAACGAAAGUUGGGGGCUCGAAGAUGAUCAGAUACCGUCGUAGUCUCAACCAUAAACGAUGCCGACUAGGGAUUGGAGGAUGUUAAUUCGAUGACUUCUCCAGCACCUUAAGAGAAAUCAAAGUUUUUGGGUUCCGGGGGGAGUAUGGUCGCAAGGCUGAAACUUAAAGGAAUUGACGGAAGGGCACCACCAGGCGUGGAGCCUGCGGCUUAAUUUGACUCAACACGGGGAAACUUACCAGGUCCAGACAUAGUAAGGAUUGACAGAUUGAGAGCUCUUUCU
Molecule: ribosomal RNA, 664 nt
Filed under: uncultured eukaryote
Lineage: Eukaryota
Description: SSU rRNA
Rfam family: Eukaryotic small subunit ribosomal RNA
Source: RNAcentral